UUUUGGAAAGCCGUCAUCCACUUUGCGUCCCAAUUAUUCGAGACUCGACCAACAAUGGACCAUCACUUGGAAACACAAUCACUGGGAAUGAUGAUGGCGACUUUGGCUGGCCAAGGUUUCUUGACCCGGAAGAAAGGACUUUGGAAAGCACCAACCGCAAAGGAACUCGCACAAAUACUCAAUAUUGACAAGCCACGGACCCAACGGAUAACCAUCCGCAGAACGGGAGCACUGAUGAGUUCUUUCGUCAACGAGAGGAGUCUACGUACACGCAGAUGGACUUUUUUAAUCUGGCCAGAACCGCUCCAAGGCCCUUUCCAUGACUCCAAAUGCCAUCAUCUUUGCCAGAGAAAACACAACAAAAGUGAUGAGGCGGACGCGAAGACGAAGGCGACGAAGACCACUAGAAAGAAGCACAACCACACACACACACACACACACACUCACUCACGCUGACACCAAGCACCCAGAAGCUCUGUUAUCAUUGGCCAAUCAAGACGGCCUGAGAUCAGCCAGGACCAUCUGGCCUUCUUUAUCUCUCCUUUUUCUCUCGGGCCUUCUUCGUCGUCUCUUUUCCGAUUAUGAGAAACAAGAAGAGGCUACUUGCUGGGUUGGUUCGUUCCUUGGAUGACGUACGUACGUACGUACGCACCCUGUAUACUACAGAGAGUCCGGCUCAGGGAAGGAGGACCCCGUGUACAUGUACAGUAGAUAGUACACGAAUAGUUCAGUUCAAGACUAAUAGAUGCUCGUCGUGCUUGGAUGGGCCUUUUGGUUCUUCCGUUCGGAAAAGACUUGGAACGAUGCUCAAAGAACGAACCCAGGAACGGAGACAAUUGCUGAGCUUUUGUUUAAGACGUGGCUGGUAAGGAUUGGGGGCAGACAGAGAGAGAGAGAGAGAGGUUGAGGUGCAACUUAAAUUUAGUUAGCACCAUAAAGAUGGUAACCGAGAUUCUGGUCGGGAUAAUGGCUCAUGUUGAUGGUGGUGAAAUAGAUACCGGAUGGUGAACAACAAUGAGCGCUUGUGGAUUUUACGAUGCUUGUCUGAUUAUUGUACCAAUGGAAUAUGCGGUGCAUUCACAAGUGUAUGAAGAAACUAAGGAGGGAAGGAUUAGCAUUUAUCUAAGAAGAAAAUCUUAUUUAUUUUCUAAAUUGUAACUUGUGGGAGAUUUGAUUGGGUCGAAGUUUGACCGUUUCAUUUUUGGAUGCUACGUUUGACCAAUCGGAUUAAAAUAUCCAAUAUAUGACAUUGAUUUGCUAUGAGAUGCUGGGAUUUCUGUCCCCAAAUACACAAUAUAG
Long non-coding RNA from Tigriopus californicus, 1299 nucleotides. RefSeq lists it as uncharacterized. Lineage: Eukaryota; Metazoa; Arthropoda; Copepoda; Harpacticoida; Harpacticidae. The transcript has 3 exons. The record is from RefSeq and is a predicted model, not a curated record.